Molecule: ribosomal RNA, 253 nt
Filed under: uncultured bacterium
Lineage: Bacteria
Description: partial 16S ribosomal RNA
Rfam family: Bacterial small subunit ribosomal RNA
Source: RNAcentral
UACGUAGGGUGCAAGCGUUGUCCGGAAUUAUUGGGCGUAAAGCGUGUGUAGGUGGUUGGAAAAGUCGAUUGUGAAAUCCCCGGGCUCAACCUGGGAACUGCUUUCGAUACUGUCUGACUAGAAUUCGGUAGAGGGAGGCGGAACUCCAGGUGUAGCGGUGAAAUGCGUAGAUAUCUGGAAGAACACCAAUGGCGAAGGCAACCUCCUGGGCCUGAAUUGACACUGAGACACGAAAGCGUGGGGAUCAAACAGG